GACGAACGCUGGCGGCGUGCUUAACACAUGCAAGUCGAACGGAAAGGCACUGCUUUUGUGGGGUGCUCGAGUGGCGAACGGGUGAGUAACACGUGAGUAACCUGCCCUUGACUUUGGGAUAACUUCAGGAAACUGGGGCUAAUACCGGAUAGGAGCUCCUGCUGCAUGGAGGGGGUUGGAAAGUUUCGGCGGUUGGGGAUGGACUCGCGGCUUAUCAGCUUGUUGGUGGGGUAGUGGCUGACCAAGGCUGUGACGGGUAGCCGGCCUGAGAGGGUGAACGGCCACAUUGGGACUGAGGUACGGCCCAGACUCCUACGGGAGGCAGCAGUGGGGAAUAUUGCACAGUGGGCGGAAGCCUGAUGCAGCAACGCCGCGUUCGGGAUGACGGCCUUCGGGUUGUAAACCGCUUUCGCCUGUGACGAAGCGUGAGUGACGGUAAUGGGUAAAGAAGCACCGGCUAACUACGUG
This 468-nucleotide ribosomal RNA is filed under the name uncultured bacterium. RNAcentral describes it as "partial 16S ribosomal RNA". It matches the Rfam family "Bacterial small subunit ribosomal RNA", at positions 28 to 507 of the family's 1533-position model. The record is from RNAcentral.